RNAcentral lists this ribosomal RNA (404 nucleotides) under uncultured bacterium. RNAcentral describes it as "bacterial SSU rRNA". It matches the Rfam family "Bacterial small subunit ribosomal RNA", at positions 355 to 776 of the family's 1533-position model. The record is from RNAcentral. RNAcentral also lists the same sequence under 1 other name.
UGGGGAAUAUUGGACAAUGGGCGAAAGCCUGAUCCAGCAAUACCGCGUGAAUGAUGAAGGCCUUAGGGUUGUAAAGUUCUUUUAGUUGGAAAGAUAAUGACGGUACCAACAGAAAAAGCCCCGGCUAACUCCGUGCCAGCAGCCGCGGUAAGACGGAGGGGGCUAGCGUUGUUCGGAAUUACUGGGCGUAAAGGGCGCGUAGGCGGAUUAGUAAGUUGGGAGUGAAAGCCCGGGGCUUAACCUCGGAACUGCUUUCAAAACUGCUAGUCUUGAGUGAAGUAGGGGAUGAUGGAAUUCCUAGUGUAGAGGUGAAAUUCUUAGAUAUUAGGAGGAACACCGGUGGCGAAGGCGGUCAUCUGGACUUCAACUGACGCUGAGGCGCGAAAGCGUGGGGAGCAAACAGG